RNAcentral lists this transfer RNA (92 nucleotides) under Thermodesulfatator sp. Its description in RNAcentral is "tRNA-Ser". It matches the Rfam family "tRNA". From Rfam's summary of the family: Transfer RNA (tRNA) molecules are approximately 80 nucleotides in length. Their secondary structure includes four short double-helical elements and three loops (D, anti-codon, and T loops). Further hydrogen bonds mediate the characteristic L-shaped molecular structure. tRNAs have two regions of fundamental functional importance: the anti-codon, which is responsible for specific mRNA codon recognition, and the 3' end, to which the tRNAs corresponding amino acid is attached (by aminoacyl-tRNA synthetases). tRNAs cope with the degeneracy of the genetic code in two manners: having more than one tRNA (with a specific anti-codon) for a particular amino acid; and 'wobble' base-pairing, i.e. permitting non-standard base-pairing at the 3rd anti-codon position. Lineage: Bacteria; Pseudomonadati; Thermodesulfobacteriota; Thermodesulfobacteria; Thermodesulfobacteriales; Thermodesulfatatoraceae. The record is from RNAcentral.
GGAGGGGUGCCCGAGUGGUCGAAGGGGGCGGCCUUGAAAGCCGCUGAGGGCCUUAGUGCCCUCCGGGGGUUCGAAUCCCUCCCCCUCCGCCC